Molecule: ribosomal RNA, 624 nt
Filed under: uncultured bacterium
Lineage: Bacteria
Description: bacterial SSU rRNA
Rfam family: Bacterial small subunit ribosomal RNA
Source: RNAcentral
GGAUGAACGCUAGCGGCAGGCUUAACACAUGCAAGUCGAGGGGUAUAAGUCUUCGGAUUUAGAGACCGGCGCACGGGUGCGUAACGCGUAUGCAAUCUACCUUUCACAGAGGGAUAGCCCAGAGAAAUUUGGAUUAAUACCUCAUAGUAUAUAGAGUUGGCAUCAACACUAUAUUAAAGUCGCAACGGUGAAAGAUGAGCAUGCGUCCCACUAGCUUGUUGGUAAGGUAACGGCUUACCAAGGCUACGAUGGGUAGGGGUCCUGAGAGGGAGAUCCCCCACACUGGUACUGAGACACGGACCAUACUCCUACGGGAGGCAGCAGUGAGGAAUAUUGGACAAUGGGCGCAAGCCUGAUCCAGCCAUGCCGCGUGCAGGAUGACGGUCCUCUGGAUUGUAAACUGCUUUUGCACAGGAAGAAACAACUCUACGUGUAGAGUCUUGACGGUACUGUGAGAAUAAGGAUCGGCUAACUCCGUGCCAGCAGCCGCGGUAAUACGGAGGAUCCAAGCGUUAUCCGGAAUCAUUGGGUUUAAAGGGUCCGUAGGCGGUUUAGUAAGUCAGUGGUGAAAGCCCAUCGCUCAACGGUGGAACGGCCAUUGAUACUGCUAGACUUGAAUUAUUA